RNAcentral lists this long non-coding RNA (319 nucleotides) under Vitis vinifera (wine grape). RNAcentral describes it as "long non-coding RNA (VVIN_LNC000642)". Lineage: Eukaryota; Viridiplantae; Streptophyta; Magnoliopsida; Vitales; Vitaceae. The record is from RNAcentral.
UGUCCCCUAGCCCUUUCUCAAUCCAACAUUCCCCUUUUGCCUCUCCAUUUGCUACUCCAACCUUCUGCUCUUCCACACCUCUGACUGGAAGCCCAGGCAGGACACCCCCCUCAAGAAAUAAGAUGAGCUCCAAGGGGGCACCAGAGCUGAAGCUGGAAAAACCAAUCCCAGCACCAGAGAUGAAGCUGGAAAAACCAAUCCCAGCUGAUUUCGAGAAGAUGUGGUCAUAUACUGGGAACCUUAGUGCCAGAAAAGUUUCUGGAGACGCUCCAGAACGUGAUUGAGUUCAAGCUAAUCCAUGAAACUACCAAAGAAAAAG